RNAcentral lists this ribosomal RNA (508 nucleotides) under uncultured bacterium. Its description in RNAcentral is "partial 16S ribosomal RNA". It matches the Rfam family "Bacterial small subunit ribosomal RNA", at positions 29 to 523 of the family's 1533-position model. The record is from RNAcentral.
AGUGAACGCUGGCGGCAGGCCUAACACAUGCAAGUCGAACGGCAGCACAGUAAGAGCUUGCUCUUAUGGGUGGCGAGUGGCGGACGGGUGAGGAAUACAUCGGAAUCUACUCUUUCGUGGGGGAUAACGUAGGGAAACUUACGCUAAUACCGCAUACGACCUACGGGUGAAAGCGGAGGACCUUCGGGCUUCGCGCGAUUGAAUGAGCCGAUGUCGGAUUAGCUAGUUGGCGGGGUAAAGGCCCACCAAGGCGACGAUCCGUAGCUGGUCUGAGAGGAUGAUCAGCCACACUGGAACUGAGACACGGUCCAGACUCCUACGGGAGGCAGCAGUGGGGAAUAUUGGACAAUGGGCGCAAGCCUGAUCCAGCCAUGCCGCGUGGGUGAAGAAGGCCUUCGGGUUGUAAAGCCCUUUUGUUGGGAAAGAAAUCCAGCUGGCUAAUACCCGGUUGGGAUGACGGUACCCAAAGAAUAAGCACCGGCUAACUUCGUGCCAGCCGCCGCAGUAA